GACGAACGCUGGCGGCGUGCUUAACACAUGCAAGUCGAACGGAAAGGCCCUGCUUUUGUGGGGUGCUCGAGUGGCGAACGGGUGAGUAACACGUGAGUAACCUGCCCUUGACUUUGGGAUAACUUCAGGAAACUGGGGCUAAUACCGGAUAGGAGCUCCUGCUGCAUGGUGGGGGUUGGAAAGUUUCGGCGGUUGGGGAUGGACUCGCGGCUUAUCAGCUUGUUGGUGGGGUAGUGGCUUACCAAGGCUUUGACGGGUAGCCGGCCUGAGAGGGUGACCGGCCACAUUGGGACUGGGAUGCGGCCCAGACUCCUACGGGAGGCAGCAGUGGGGAAUAUUGCACAAUGGGCGGAAGCCUGAUGCAGCAACGCCGCGUGCUGGAUGACGGCCUUCGGGUUGUAAACCGCUUUCGCCUGUGACGAAGCGUGAGUGACGGUAAUGGGUAAAGAAGCACCGGCUAACUACGUG
RNAcentral lists this ribosomal RNA (468 nucleotides) under uncultured bacterium. RNAcentral describes it as "partial 16S ribosomal RNA". It matches the Rfam family "Bacterial small subunit ribosomal RNA", at positions 28 to 507 of the family's 1533-position model. The record is from RNAcentral.